This 2555-nucleotide ribosomal RNA is filed under the name fermentation metagenome. RNAcentral's name for it is "bacterial LSU rRNA". It matches the Rfam family "Bacterial large subunit ribosomal RNA", at positions 3 to 2374 of the family's 2925-position model. The record is from RNAcentral.
UCAAGAUAAAAAGGGCGUAUGGUGGAUGCCUUGGCGCCAGGAGGCGAAGAAGGACGCGGUAAGCGGCGAAACGCCACGGGGAGCUGCAAGCGAGCAUAGAUCCGUGGGUAUCCGAAUGGGGAAACCCGAUAGAGGCGAACCUCUAUCAUCCCUGCCUGAAAAAAAUAGGGCAGGAGAAGCGAGACCCGGUGAACUGAAACAUCUUAGUAACCGGAGGAAAAGAAAUCAAGCGAGAUCUUCCUAGUAGCGGCGAGCGAACGGGAAAGAGCCCAAACCUGAUAUGUGUAAGCCUGCAAGCGUUGCAUAUGAGGGGUUGAGGGGCUGACAGGACAGAAUUGCAGAGCUGUCAAAGAGUAAAAAAACCGGUAUUUAGGCGAACGAGUCUGGAAAGACCGGCCGUAGAGAGUGAAAGCCUCGUAGCUAAAAAACAACGGACUCUUAGUCAGGACCCCGAGUACCGCCGGACACGUGGAACCCGGUGGGAAGCAGGGAGGACCACCUUCCAAGGCUAAAGACUACCUGGCGACCGAUAGCGGAUAGUACCGUGAGGGAAAGGUGAAAAGCACCCCGGGAGGGGAGUGAAAAAGAACCUGAAACCAUAUGCUUACAAACAGUCAGAGCACUAUUUAUUAGCUGCGGUUAAUAAAGUGUGAUGGCGUACCUUUUGUAGAAUGGGCCAGCGAGUUACGGCAGCAAGCAAGGUUAAGUCCAAAAAGGACGGAGCCGGAGCGAAAGCGAGUCUUAAGAGGGCGAAAAGUUUGUUGCUGUAGACCCGAAACUGGGUGAUCUAUCCAUGGCCAGGGUGAAGUCUCGGUAACACGAGAUGGAGGCCCGAACCAGAGUGCGUUGAAAAGUACGUGGAUGAGCUGUGGAUAGGGGUGAAAUGCCAAUCGAACCCAGAGAUAGCUGGUUCUCCCCGAAAUAGCUUUAGGGCUAGCGUUAUAUGUUUCCUUAUGGGGGUAGAGCACUGGUUAGGCUAGGGGCCUUACCGGGUUACCGAACCUUCCCAAACUCCGAAUACCAUAAGGUAAGAAUAUAGCAGUCAGACUGCGGGUAAUAAGGUCCGUGGUCGAGAGGGAAACAGCCCAGACCGCCAGCCAAGGUCCCAAAAUUCAUGCUAAGUGGGAAAGGAAGUAGGGCUGCAGAGACAGCCAGGAUGUUGGCUCAGAAGCAGCCACCAUUCAAAGAGUGCGUAAUAGCUCACUGGUCAAGUGGCCCUGCGCCGAAAAUUCAACGGGGCUAAGCAUGAUACCGAAGCUGCGGAUCCGGUAGUGUUUUAAGAUGUUAGAGGAUUGCGAAGGAGAAGGUUGCGAAGCGAUAGCGGAGCAACGAAAUUCCAUAAAAAAUAAACGCGAUACCGCUGGCAUGUUAAAACACUACCGGGUGGUAGGGGAGCAUUCCUAACGGGUAGAAGUCGUACCGGAAGGAGCGGUGGACUGUUAGGAAGAGAGAAUGCUGGCAUAAGUAAGCGAGAAGGCAGGUGAGAAUCCUGCCCGCCGUAAACCUGAGGUUUCCUGGGGAAGGCUCGUCCGCCCAGGGUAAGCCGGGACCUAAGCCGAGGCCUAAAGGCGUAGGCGAUGGACAACUGGUUGAGAAUCCAGUGCCACCUGAAACCGCUAUGAGCAAUGGGGUGACGCAGGAGGAUAGGUGAAGCGCACGAGUGGAAGAGUGCGUCCAAGCAUGUAGGAGGCAGAAUAGGCAAAUCCGUUCUGCGCAACUCCGAGGUGUGAUGGGGAGGGAAACGAAGUACCGAAGUCACUGACUCCAAACUGCCAAGAAAAGCCUCUAGCCAGGUCAGGGUGCCCGUACCGAAAACCGACACAGGUAGGUGAGGAGAGAAUCCUAAGGCGCGCGAGAGAACCCUCGUUAAGGAACUCGGCAAAAUGACCCCGUAACUUCGGGAGAAGGGGUGCUUUGUUAGAGUGAGUAUAUAAACAUGUACGAGCUUGAGAGAGCCGCAGCGAAAUGGCCCAGGCGACUGUUUACCAAAAACACAGGUCUCUGCUAAAUCGAAAGAUGAUGUAUAGAGGCUGACGCCUGCCCGGUGCUGGAAGGUUAAGGGGAAUGCUAAGCGGCAACGCGAAGGUGUGAACCGAAGCCCCAGUGAACGGCGGCCGUAACUAUAACGGUCCUAAGGUAGCGAAAUUCCUUGUCUGGUAAGUUCAGACCCGCACGAAAGGCGUAACGAUCUGGGCACUGUCUCGACGAGGGGCUCGGUGAAAUUGUAAUACCGGUGAAGAUGCCGGUUACCUGCGAUAGGACAGAAAGACCCCAUGGAGCUUUACUGUAGCUUGAUAUUGGAUUUUGGUAGUUGAUGUACAGGAUAGGUGGGAGACUAAGAAGGCAGGUCGCAAGGCUUGCUGGAGUCAAUGGUGGGAUACCACUCUUGAAUUGCUGAAAUUCUAACCUUGUCCCGUAAACCGGGUCAGGGACAGUGUCAGGCGGGCAGUUUGACUGGGGCGGUCGCCUCCCAAAGAGUAACGGAGGCGCCCAAAGGUUCCCUCAGCGCGGAUGGAAAUCGCGCGAAGAGUGUAAAGGCAUAAGGGAGCUUGACU